Molecule: ribosomal RNA, 310 nt
Filed under: uncultured bacterium
Lineage: Bacteria
Description: partial 16S ribosomal RNA
Rfam family: Bacterial small subunit ribosomal RNA
Source: RNAcentral
AAGAGACAGCAGCAGCCGCGGGAAUACGAAGGGUGCAAGCGUUACUCGGAAUUACUGGGCGUAAAGCGUGCGUAGGUGGUGGUUUAAGUCCGUUGUGAAAGCCCUGGGCUCAACCUGGGAAUUGCAGUGGAUACUGGGUCACUAGAGUGUGGUAGAGGAUAGUGGAAUUUCCGGUGUAGCAGUGAAAUGCGUAGAGAUCGGAAGGAACAUCUGUGGCGAAGGCGACUAUCUGGGCCAACACUGACACUGAGGCACGAAAGCGUGGGGAGCAAACAGGAUUAGAUACCCGAGUAGUCCCUGUCUCUUAUAC